GACGAACGCUGUUGGCGUGCUUAACACAUGCAAGUCGAACGGAAAGGCCCUGCUUUUGUGGGGUGCUCGAGUGGCGAACGGGUGAGUAACACGUGAGUAACCUGCCCUUGACUUUGGGAUAACUUCAGGAAACUGGGGCUAAUACCGGAUAGGAGCUCCUGCUGCAUGGUGGGGGUUGGAAAGUUUCGGCGGUUGGGGAUGGACUCGCGGCUUAUCAGCUUGUUGGUGGGGUAGUGGCUUACCAAGGCUUUGACGGGUAGCCGGCCUGAGAGGGUGACCGGCCACAUUGGGACUGAGAUACGGCCCAGACUCCUACGGGAGGCAGCAGUGGGGAAUAUUGCACAAUGGGCGGAAGCCUGAUGCAGCAACGCCGCGUGCGGGAUGACGGCCUUCGGGUUGUAAACCGCUUUCGCCUGUGACGAAGCGUGAGUGACGGUAAUGGGUAAAGAAGCACCGGCUAACUACGUGCCAGCAGCCGCGGUGAUACGUAGGGUGCGAGCGUUGUCCGGAUUUAUUGGGCGUAAAGGGCUCGUAGGUGGUUGAUCGCGUCGGAAGUGUAAUCUUGGGGCUUAACCCUGAGCGUGCUUUCGAUACGGGGUUGACUUGAGGAAGGUAGGGGGAGAAUGGAAUUCCUGGUGGAGCGGUGGAAUGCGCAGAUAUCAGGAGGAACACCAGUGGCGAAGGCGGUUCUCUGGGCCUUUCCUGACGCUGAGGAGCGAAAGCGUGGGGAGCGAACAGGCUUAGAUACCCUGGUAGUCCACGCUGUAAACGGUGGGUACUAGGUGUGGGGUCCGUUCCACGGGUUCCGUGCCGUAGCUAACGCUUUAAGUACCCCGCCUGGGGAGUACGGCCGCAAGGCUAAAACUCAAAGGAAUUGACGGGGCCCCGCACAAGCGGCGGAGCAUGCGGAUUAAUUCGAUGCAACGCGUAGAACCUUACCUGGGUUUGACAUGGAUCGGGAGUGCUCAGAGAUGGGUGUGCCUCUUUUGGGGUCGGUUCACAGGUGGUGCAUGCCUGUCGUCAGCUCGUGUCGUGAGAUGUUGGGUUAAGUCCCGCAACGAGCGCAACCCUUGUUCACUGUUGCCAGCACGUUAUGGUGGGGACUCAGUGGAGACCGCCGGGGUCAACUCGGAGGAAGGUGGGGAUGACGUCAAGUCCUCAUGCCCCUUAUGUCCAGGGCUUCACGCAUGCUACAAUGGCUGGUACAGAGAGUGGCGAGCCUGUGAGGGUGAGCGAAUCUCGGAAAGCCGGUCUCAGUUCGGAUUGGGGUCUGCAACUCGACCUCAUGAAGUCGGAGUCGCUAGUAAUCGCAGAUCAGCAACGCUGCGGUGAAUACGUUCCCGGG
RNAcentral lists this ribosomal RNA (1345 nucleotides) under uncultured bacterium. RNAcentral's name for it is "16S ribosomal RNA". It matches the Rfam family "Bacterial small subunit ribosomal RNA", at positions 28 to 1378 of the family's 1533-position model. The record is from RNAcentral.